CGGGGUGAGUAAUGUCUGGGAAACUGCCCGAUGGAGGGGGAUAACUACUGGAAACGGUAGCUAAUACCGCAUAACGUCGCAAGACCAAAGAGGGGGACCUUCGGGCCUCUUGCCAUCGGAUGUGCCCAGAUGGGAUUAGCUAGUAGGUGGGGUAAUGGCUCACCUAGGCGACGAUCCCUAGCUGGUCUGAGAGGAUGACCAGCCACGCUGGAACUGAGACACGGUCCAG
RNAcentral lists this ribosomal RNA (229 nucleotides) under uncultured bacterium. Its description in RNAcentral is "partial 16S ribosomal RNA". It matches the Rfam family "Bacterial small subunit ribosomal RNA", at positions 104 to 334 of the family's 1533-position model. The record is from RNAcentral.